CUGUCAGUCCCGCGCCCGCCGCCGCGCCACGGCUCCUCGCAUGCCGUGGCCCGGGUGGCUGCCAGCGCUGCCGCCCGCCGCCCGCCACCCCGGCAUCCCAAGCCGCCUCCCGCCGCCCCGGCCCGGCGCGCAGGGCUGCUGACCACCAGCAGCACGGACCUCUGGAGGCCAAAACAGGCCUGACAGUCACAGAUGUGUUUGCCAUCUCAUCUUUAUGUGAGUGGAGUAAGGAAAGAUGAAAGCCACAGAAUGAGACCUUUCUGGACAUGACUGUACAGGAGCCCAG
This 286-nucleotide long non-coding RNA is filed under the name Homo sapiens (human). RNAcentral describes it as "PREDICTED lncRNA (TCONS_00016022)". The record is from RNAcentral. Lineage: Eukaryota; Metazoa; Chordata; Mammalia; Primates; Hominidae.